RNAcentral lists this ribosomal RNA (459 nucleotides) under uncultured bacterium. RNAcentral describes it as "bacterial SSU rRNA". It matches the Rfam family "Bacterial small subunit ribosomal RNA", at positions 8 to 467 of the family's 1533-position model. The record is from RNAcentral.
AGAGUUUGAUCCUGGCUCAGAAUGAACGCUGGCGGCGUGCCUAACACAUGCAAGUCGGAUGUGCCGCAAGGUGCAUGGCAGACGGGUGAGUAACGCGUGGGGAAUCUACCUUUUAGUGGGGAAUAACGCUCCGAAAGGAGUGGUAAUACCGCAUGAGACCUUCGGCUGGGAUGCUGGAGGUGAAACCUGGGGACCGCAAGGCCUGGGGCUAGAAGAGGAUCCUGCGUCUGAUUAGCUAGUUGGCGGGGUAAUGGCCCACCAAGGCGACGAUCAGUAGCCGGCCUGAGAGGGUGAUCGGCCACACUGGAACUGAGACACGGUCCAGACUCCUACGGGAGGCAGCAGUGGGGAAUUUUGCGCAAUGGACGAGAGUCUGACGCAGCAACGCCGCGUGGGUGAUGAAGGUCUUCGGACUGUAAAACCCUGUCGUCAGGGACGAAGGUGGCAAGGUUAAUAACC